GAUGUAUAUACAAAGAACAAAGAAUACCAUUUGGACCAAUCAAGGGCACAGAUUGUUUCUGUCAAGAGAAGCCAGACAAGCUUAUGGGGGAAGUGUACUGCAAAAGGCCAUAAUCCUUACUCAUUAUUUAAGCAGAUUCACCUCUUUCCAACCAACAGCUCCAUAUUUUGCUGGGUAUACAAGUAACACAACAUCAUUAUAUGAAAUUUAUAUCUGUUGGACCAUUCCUGUCUUUUUUUUGUACAUUGAUAUAAAUAAAUUUUAUACAAAUUA
Long non-coding RNA from Octopus bimaculoides (California two-spot octopus), 273 nucleotides. NCBI's taxonomy places the organism in Eukaryota, Metazoa, Mollusca, Cephalopoda, Octopoda, Octopodidae. The record is from RefSeq and is a predicted model, not a curated record.